Molecule: long non-coding RNA, 820 nt
Organism: Homo sapiens (human)
Lineage: Eukaryota; Metazoa; Chordata; Mammalia; Primates; Hominidae
Product: long intergenic non-protein coding RNA 1791
Source: Ensembl
AGAGCAAGUCCAGCAAGAGUUGAACACAGGCUGCCAGAAUUCCACCCUUGUCUCAUUCCGAGAUUGUGUGCUGAGGGUUUUCAACUGCAUCUCUAAAGGGAAGGCCAAAGAAAGAGCAACAGGAAAGGAUGGUAAAAAGGGGGUAGAAAGGAAGAAGGAAGGGAAGAAAAAAGGGAAAACAGCAAGCUCUCUUUCCAGAGCCACACAUUUUUUUCUGUUUGCUCAGUGGCAGUCUGUUAAAGAAAUACUUCAUUGUCACUGAACACAGAGUCAUUAAAGGCACCUUGGAAAUUUGGACCCUUUUACUAGAAUCAGGGCUUAAAUAGCAACUUAAUUUAUGACACUUCUCGAGGCUGAUGGCGUUUUUGCUCUAAGACCUGCCUUGCAAGAAAUGUUAAAAGAAGUGCUUUAGAGAGCAGGGAAAUUCUAUAGGUCAGACACUUGGAUCUACAUAAAAAAAGGAAGAAACCAAAGGAGAAAUAAGUGAAGGCAUGGAAACCUUGUUCCACACAUUGCCUGGUGCCCUGUCCAGCGCUGCAAGGUGCACUGCGUCUCCUCUGCCCAGCAAGCCACAAGCCCCUCCAGGGUGAGAGGAGAGCCUUCCCUUCCCUUGGUCCUCCCUUCGACACAGGGAGCUGGAGCUGGACAGCCCCAUAGGCACUCAGGGCUUGAAGAAGAUAUCUAGAAAUGUCAAAGCAGAAGAGCCUCGGAGAUAAUCUGAACUAUUUCUGAGUUUAUAUAAGGGAAAACUGAGACUGGAGAGAACUAACAUGUCUAAUAUUACAAUGGAAACUUGUAAUAAAACCACAAAUUGAGUCAA